Molecule: long non-coding RNA, 486 nt
Organism: Homo sapiens (human)
Lineage: Eukaryota; Metazoa; Chordata; Mammalia; Primates; Hominidae
Gene: IRF1-AS1
Product: IRF1 antisense RNA 1
Source: Ensembl
CUGAGGAUGGCCAGCAGAGAAACAAGAAAAUGGACUCCCUGGCUGCUGGAGAGUUGAAUGCCAGCCACCAGCCAUGGGUGCCAGAGUUUGUAGCCUAUUGGAGGAAAACACACCAAGGGAAUCUUCAAACUCUUCUUCUCCACUGGCUCCUGCUGUGCUCCUGUCUCCAUCACCUGUAUAAUGCUUCCUGCCAUCCUGCCUUCCCCGUGGAGUACAGCCAUGCUGUCUGCUGCUUACAGCCAAGAUUCUGGAAAGAAAUGUCUCCUUUUUCCUCGUCAUCAACCACUCAUUUAUUCAGCAAGUGUUUCUUUUACACUUGCCUGUGCUGGGCAUGGCAGCAAUGCAGCAGUGAACAAAACCAUCAGCCCUGCUCUCAUGCAGCUUAUAAUCAAGUAGAGAGACAGACAUAAAUGAUUAAUAGAUGCUCCUGUAAUGGUGGUUGUGAGGUGUGCUGCCACAGCCCAGCCACACACGCCAGUUCCCUUC